RNAcentral lists this ribosomal RNA (77 nucleotides) under Ideonella dechloratans. RNAcentral's name for it is "partial 16S ribosomal RNA". It matches the Rfam family "Bacterial small subunit ribosomal RNA", at positions 1461 to 1533 of the family's 1533-position model. Lineage: Bacteria; Pseudomonadati; Pseudomonadota; Betaproteobacteria; Burkholderiales; Sphaerotilaceae. The record is from RNAcentral.
GGCAGGGUUCGUGACUGGGGUGAAGUCGUAACAAGGUAGCCGUAUCGGAAGGUGCGGCUGGAUCACCUCCUUUCUGG